RNAcentral lists this ribosomal RNA (468 nucleotides) under uncultured bacterium. Its description in RNAcentral is "partial 16S ribosomal RNA". It matches the Rfam family "Bacterial small subunit ribosomal RNA", at positions 28 to 507 of the family's 1533-position model. The record is from RNAcentral.
GACGAACGCUGGCGGCGUGCUUAACACAUGCAAGUCGAACGGAAAGGCCCUGCUUUUGUGGGGUGCUCGAGUGGCGAACGGGUGUGUAACACGUGAGUAACCUGCCCUUGACUUUGGGAUAACUUCAGGAAACUGGGGCUAAUACCGGAUAGGAGCUCCUGCUGCAUGGUGGGGGUUGGAAAGUUUCGGCGGUUGGGGAUGGACUCGCGGCUUAUCAGUUUGUUGGUGGGGUAGUGGCUUACCAAGGCUUUGAGGGGUAGCCGGCCUGAGAGGGUGACCGGCCACAUUGGGACUGAGAUACGGCCCAGACUCCUACGGGAGGCAGAAGUGGAGAAUAUUGCACACUGGGCGGAAGCCUGAUGCAGCAACGCCGCGUGCGGGAUGACGGCCUUCGGGUUGUAAACCGCUUUCGCCUGUGACGAAGCGUGAGUGACGGUAAUGGGUAAAGAAGCACCGGCUAACUACGUG